Molecule: transfer RNA, 59 nt
Filed under: Onchidella celtica (Celtic sea slug)
Lineage: Eukaryota; Metazoa; Mollusca; Gastropoda; Systellommatophora; Onchidiidae
Description: tRNA-Ser
Source: RNAcentral
UAGAAGAUAUUGAUUGAGGCUGCUAACUUUGAUCUGGGGGAGACUGCCUCCUCUUCUAU